Molecule: long non-coding RNA, 2591 nt
Organism: Gallus gallus (chicken)
Lineage: Eukaryota; Metazoa; Chordata; Aves; Galliformes; Phasianidae
Exons: 3
Source: RefSeq, a predicted model, not a curated record
GAGUGCCUCCUGUCCUCUGCUGCACACCUGGAGAUAUGUUCCACUUUCUCCCAGAGCUCUCAUAAAAAGAUAAGUGAUCAGAGUAACACCAGGCUGGCUGUACUGAUGGCAACUGCCUUGGUCAUGCCAUGGGCAUGGCACAGCAGGCACAGGGUUGGCAGUUCCCUGUGUCUCAUAGGCACUGGUGAUCUAGCCAAUAAUGGGAGGUCAAAUGAAGUGCUGAACCGCUUUGCCAGCACUGGCCAAAGUAGAGCAGGAUGGUGAGCAGAGUCAGAGCCAGAGGCCCAGAGGAGAACAUUCCCAUGAAUGCCUCCUGUCCUCUGCUGCUCACCGGGAGACAUGUUCCACGAUAAACAAGGACACAGAUACAAAGAUAAGUGAUCAGAAAAACACCAGACUGGUUGUACUUCUGGGCAUCAGCUGCUGGCACCUUCCUUGGUCAUGGCAUGGGCAUGGCACAGCAGGAACAAUGUUGGCAGUUCAUUGUGUCAAACAGGCACUGGUGCCAUGGCCAGCACUGGGAGGUCUCAUGAAGUGCUAACCACGGUGCCCGCACAGGCCAGAGUAGAGCAGGAUUAUGAGCAGAGUCAGAGCCAGAGGCCCAGAGGAGAACAUGCCCAGACCAUGAGUGCCUCCUGUCCUCUGCUGCUCACCUGGAGACAUGUUCCACGUUCUCCAAGAGCUCUUAUAAAAAGAUAAGUGAUCAGAGUAACUCCAGGCUGGCUGUACUUCAGGGUAUCACGCUGACAACAGCCUCGUUGACACCAUGGGCAGGGCACAGCAGGCACAGUGUUGGCAGUUCCCUGUGUCACACACGCAUUGGAGACAUGAUGGCCGUAGGGACGUAAUAAAAAGAGCUUCUCGCUGCUGCGAGCCCAGGCCAGAAAAAACAGGAUGGUGAGCAGAGUCAGAGGUAAGAGGCCAGGAGAGAUGGCAUGGAAGGGAAUGUCUAAGACCUGGGAAGGGCGGCAGGCGUGUGUCUGAUGCUCCAGACUGUGUGUCCUGUUGCUUUGUCUUGGACAGCCAGAGGCCCAGAGGAGAACAUGCCCAGACCAUGAGUGCCUCCUGUCCUCUGCUGCUCACCUGGAGACGUCUUCCACUUUCUCCAAAAGCUCUCAUAAAAAGAUAAGUGAUCAGAGUAACACCAGGCUGGCUGUACUUCUGGGCAUCAGCUCAUGGCAACGGCCAUAGUUGUGUCAUGGGCAUGGCACAGUGGAACAAUGUUGGCAGUUCAUUGUGUCAAACAGGCAUUGGUGCCAUGGCCAGCCAAUAAUGGGAGGUCACAUGAAGUGCUGAACCCAUUUGCCUGCAAAGGCCAGAGGAGAGCAGGAUAGUGAGCAGAUUCAGAGGUAAGAGGGCAGAGAGAUGGCAUGGAAAAUGGGAUGGUCUGGGACCUGCCCAUGGAGGCAGAGAGAGCUGUGAUGCUAGAGAUUGUGUGUCCUCUGUCUUGGACGGCCAGAGGCCCAGAGGAGAACAUGCCCAGACCAUGAGUGCCUCCUGUCCUCUGCUGCUCACCUGGAGACAUGUUCCACCUUACACAAGGACACUGAUCCAAAGAUAAGUGAUCAGACAAAACCACCAGGCUGGCUGUACUGGGCAUCAGCUGCUGGUAACUGCCUUGGUGAUGCCAUGGGCAUGGCACAGCAGGCACGAUAUUUGCAGAUCUUUGUGUCAAACACGCACUGGUGUCAUGACCAAUACUGGGAGGUCAACAUGAAGUGCUGAACCGUUGUGCCAGCACAGGCCAGAGGAGAUCAGGAUGGUGAGCAGAGUCAGUUGUAAGAGUCCAGAGACAUGGCAUGGAAGGGAAGGUCUGGGACCUGGCCAAGGUGUAAGAGAUAGCUGUGAUGCUGCAGAUUGUGUGUCCACCUGCUUUGUCUUGGACAGCCAGAGGCCCAGAGGAGAACAUGCCCAGACCAUGAGUGCCUCCUGUCCUCUGCUGCUCACCUGGAGACAUGUUCCACCUUACACAAGGACACUGAUCCAAAGAUAAGUGAUCAGACAAAACCACCAGGCUGGCUGUACUGGGCAUCAGCUGCUGGCAACUGCCUUGGUGACGCCAUGGGCAUGGCACAGCAGGCACGAUAUUUGCAGAUCUUUGUGUCAAACACGCACUGGUGACAUGGCCAAUACUGGGAGGUCAACAUGAAGUGCUGAACCGUUGUGCCAGCCCAGACAAGAGGAGAUCAGGAUGGUGAGCAGUGUCGGUGGUAUGAGGCCAGAGAGAUGGCAUGGAAGGGAAGGUCUGGGACCUGGCCAAGGUGUAAGAGAUAGCUGUGAUGCUGCAGAUUGUGUGUCCUCUUGCUUUGUCUUGGACAGCCAGAGGCCCAGAGGAGAACAUGCCCAGACCAUGAGUGCCUCCUGUCCUCUGCUGCACACCUGGAGAUAUGUUCCUCUUUCUCCAAGAGCUCUCAUAAAAAGAUAAGUGAUCAGAGUAACACCAGGCUGGCUGUACUGAUGGCAACUGCCUUGGUCAUGCCAUGGGCAUGGCACAGCAGGCACAGGGUUGGCAGUUCCCUGUGUCUCAUAGGCACUGGUGAUCUAGCCAAUAUUGGGAGGUCACAUGAAGUGCUGAACCGCUUUGCCAGCAC